UACGGAGGGGGCUAGCGUUGUUCGGAAUUACUGGGCGUAAAGCGCACGUAGGCGGCUUUGUAAGUUAGAGGUGAAAGCCCGGGGCUCAACUCCGGAAUUGCCUUUAAGACUGCAUCGCUAGAAUUGUGGAGAGGUAAGUGGAAUUCCGAGUGUAGAGGUGAAAUUCGUAGAUAUUGGGAAGAACACCAGUGGCGAAGGCGGCUCACUGGACCGACACUGACGCUGAGGCGCGAAAGCGUGGGGAGCAAACAGG
Molecule: ribosomal RNA, 253 nt
Filed under: uncultured bacterium
Lineage: Bacteria
Description: partial 16S ribosomal RNA
Rfam family: Bacterial small subunit ribosomal RNA
Source: RNAcentral